GGGUCUACUAUUAUUCAAAGUAUUAAUUAAACAGCUUACGUAAUUUGUAUUAUAUGAAAGUCCAGAUUCAGGAUAUACAUAUGAAUGCCAAGGUACGCACGUCUUUCACAGAAUUUAAACAAAAUCCAAUGAGAGUCAAAUGUAGGGAAUGUAUAGAAACGUGUGGGUUUUGAUUUUUUUGUUCUUUUUUUUUGAAUAAAGGAUGGAUACUCUAAUUAUAAAAAUUGAGAGGGUUGCGCGCGCCAAAAUCUAGCCCAGGUCCAGUAGUCUUUUUGUUUUGGGGUAGUAAACCCAUUUAACUAGAACUAGUCUCAAACCCAACAAAUUUUUGUUUUCAUAUUAUAUUUAUGUAAUAUAAUUUGAUGAUCUUAUCUUCCGUAUGAAAUAUUUUAUUCUGUUACGUUCUUUCACUAAAACUUCAGAUAAACUUUCUACUAGAC
RNAcentral lists this long non-coding RNA (440 nucleotides) under Capsella rubella. RNAcentral describes it as "long non-coding RNA (CRUB_LNC003465)". Lineage: Eukaryota; Viridiplantae; Streptophyta; Magnoliopsida; Brassicales; Brassicaceae. The record is from RNAcentral.